RNAcentral lists this ribosomal RNA (266 nucleotides) under uncultured prokaryote. RNAcentral's name for it is "partial 16S ribosomal RNA". It matches the Rfam family "Bacterial small subunit ribosomal RNA", at positions 524 to 788 of the family's 1533-position model. The record is from RNAcentral.
UACGGAGGAUCCGAGCGUUAUCCGGAUUUAUUGGGUUUAAAGGGUGCGCAGGCGGGAGAUUAAGUCGGCGGUGAAAUUUUGCAGCUCAACUGUAAAAGUGCCUUCGAAACUGGUCUCCUUGAGUGUAGAUGAAGUAGGCGGAAUUUGUGGUGUAGCGGUGAAAUGCAUAGAUAUCACGAGGAACUCCGAUUGCGCAGGCAGCUUACUAAACUACUACUGACGCUCAGGCACGAAGGCGUGGGGAGUCAAACAGGAUUAGAUACCCU